Hyalella azteca is the source of this 1810-nucleotide long non-coding RNA. RefSeq lists it as uncharacterized. NCBI's taxonomy places the organism in Eukaryota, Metazoa, Arthropoda, Malacostraca, Amphipoda, Hyalellidae. The record is from RefSeq and is a predicted model, not a curated record. The transcript is spliced from 3 exons.
CAUGGACAUUAGUGUUCCUCGCUUUGCCGUUGAGUGAGGUGUAACUUAUCAAGCUGCGUCCCUUACUGGCAAGAAGACGUGAGAGAGCAGCGCUGCCUGGAUGUUGGAUGAGCCCAAACAAUGAUUUUGCCUGAAAACAUUACCGAGAAGUGGCUGGCUGCCGGAUCCUCACCCAUCGACUGGUGUGAGGAGAACUACAUUGUUAGCAGCAACAUCGCCGAGUUCACCAACACUUUUUCCAACGUUGGCUUCAUCAUACCACCUCUGUACUUGUGGCAGUCCAGAUCAUGGCAUAGCUAUUGUCGCCUGGUCUCCAUUGGACCUUUCGUUUUCUAUUCACUAAUGAUGUUUACGGGUAUCUUCAGUGUAUACUUCCAUGCUUCUUUAUCUUUCUUGGGACAACUUUUGGACGAAGUCAGCAUACUCUGGCUGACUCCUAUUGGCUACGCUUUUUUCACUCCAAAGAAGUACAGGCCGCCUUUUUUGUCCGACGCUACUUCCAUGGUAUUAAGUGUUAUAGUAUCAGUACUUUUAACAGCUUGUUGGUUUAUAGACCCAGCCUUGAACACAGUGUGGAUGUUCCCUAUGCUAAUCCCUGUCUUCCUUAUAGGCUAUCGUGAACUGCCAACCCUCAGCAAGGGGGCACCUUUGACUCAUGGAUUGUUAGCGUCAGUUUUCGGUUUCAUAUCUGUUACUUGUUGGUUGAGCGAUCGAUUUAUGUGUAACCAUAUUCUAAACGCUGGCUUUCCCGGUCUGCACUUCAUCUGGCAUCUGUCUAUCUGCCUGUGUUCGCAUCACGGCAUAACUGUUCUGGCUUACAUUAAGGCUGUGUCUGACGCACCUCAACUCAGGACCACUUUCAGACGGGCUCCAAAUUUACCAUUCGGUUUCCCAUUUAUUCACUGUCAAGUGAAAACUUCUUAAUUGUAAUUCAAAAUAAUGCAGGCACGUAGAAAAUCCGAUAAUCAGCAAACUCUUGGACUUAAAUUUAACAAUGUUUCAAGUUAAUAGUUGAUUUUAAAUGGGAAAUGAUUUAUUUGCAUUAUUUGUUUUAUUAUGAGUUUGUUAUAUGCUUGUCAUGGUAUUAAGUUGUUAAAUAUUUUAUGCUCAUGUUUAACAAGGUCUUGUCUGUGUUCGAAGAAAAUAAAUUAUUAAUUAAAUAUUUUCAGGAGAAUAGACGAAAAGAUUACCUUCUUACUAGCACUUCGCAGUGAAAGGUAUCUUAAACUAGAGGUGAUACACUAAACCUUAAAGAAGGAAAUGACUUUCGUUGUCUUGUGCCACGGCAGUUUGUACUUGUAUGUGUAACUCAAGUGUCGUUAUUGAUCUUAAGGUGAUGUGAAUAUUCUUGGGACAUUAUCACCACGUUCAUUACGUUUUAUUAUCAUGUUCACUGUGUUAUAUCAUCAUGUUCAUUACCUUUUCUGAUCCAUGCUGACUUCAAGUGUAACGUUUGCUUUGGUUUCCUCCUGUAAGAGUACAAAUUGAAAAGCAAUUCCAAAGGAAUUAUUGGAAUUCACUACGUUAAAAAUUCUUACCUUGUCAGUUCACUCUACGUAAUGAAGAACAUAAAAUUUUAAUGAGCCGUUUACAGCUGAUUAAUUUCAACUUUUACAUGUGCGCCAAUGAAAUUUACGUCUUCUUCCAAUAAAAUAAUUAUAUAUACUUCUGAACUUAUUAAUUACUAUAUAUUAUUAUUAUUGUUGUUCAAUUCCGGGAAACACUUUUCCAUCUCUACGAUAAUACGUAGUUGAUUCGUGCAGAAGUAAAAAUUUAUAAAAUUAUUACUGAAAUCUACCCAGCUUUCGGA